Pan paniscus (pygmy chimpanzee) is the source of this 259-nucleotide long non-coding RNA. The record is from Ensembl. NCBI's taxonomy places the organism in Eukaryota, Metazoa, Chordata, Mammalia, Primates, Hominidae.
UAAUUUUAUCACAUAGACACUCCUCCACGUACUUCUAAGGUUUACCAACUUAAAAAUUAAGCCCCUGUGAGCUGUGACUGCAAGUCAGCACCUAAAUUAGAUCAACACUACAACAUCAAAAAGGAUAUAUAUGUGCAUACGGUUCUACAUAGAAAUCCUGAUUCUGUGGCCCAGCAUUCCUGCAUGAUGCCAGUAGAUAGUAGCUGAACAGGUACAAAGAUGAGCAUCAGUUGUUAUCUUUAAAAUAAUUAUGUUGGUG